The sequence is a transfer RNA, 74 nucleotides long. It matches the Rfam family "tRNA". Rfam says of the family: Transfer RNA (tRNA) molecules are approximately 80 nucleotides in length. Their secondary structure includes four short double-helical elements and three loops (D, anti-codon, and T loops). The record is from Rfam.
GGGCUUAUAGCUCAGCUGGUUAGAGCGCACGCCUGAUAAGCGUGAGGUCGGUGGUUCAAGUCCACUUAAGCCCA